This 102-nucleotide transfer RNA is filed under the name Mycobacterium tuberculosis. RNAcentral describes it as "tRNA-Leu(aag)". The record is from RNAcentral. Lineage: Bacteria; Bacillati; Actinomycetota; Actinomycetes; Mycobacteriales; Mycobacteriaceae.
CGCAAUCCUGGUGGAUGGCGUGUCUGUUCCCGCCGCUAAGGCUGGCGACAAGAUUGAGGUUGUCCUGGAUGAGACUCCGUUCUACGCGGAGGCUGGUGGCCA